GGCUUUGUAGUACAAUGGAUAGUAUUUGGGUUUCCGAAGCCUGCGAUCUAGGUUCGAUUCCUAGCAGAGCCA
RNAcentral lists this transfer RNA (72 nucleotides) under Bacteroidia bacterium. Its description in RNAcentral is "tRNA-Arg". It matches the Rfam family "tRNA". From Rfam's summary of the family: Transfer RNA (tRNA) molecules are approximately 80 nucleotides in length. Lineage: Bacteria; Pseudomonadati; Bacteroidota; Bacteroidia. The record is from RNAcentral.